Molecule: long non-coding RNA, 1936 nt
Organism: Eriocheir sinensis (Chinese mitten crab)
Lineage: Eukaryota; Metazoa; Arthropoda; Malacostraca; Decapoda; Varunidae
Exons: 3
Source: RefSeq, a predicted model, not a curated record
CAUAUGUAUAGAACUGAGAAUGAGAAAUAGAUGUUGGCAGGUCAUAUAUAUAGAACUGAGAAUGAGAAAUUGAUGUUGGCAGGUCAUAUGUAUAGAACUGAGAAUGAGAAAUAGAUGUUGGCAGGUCAUAUGUAUAGAACUGAGAAUGAGAAAUUGAUGUUGGCAGGUCAUAUAUAUAGAACUGAAAAUGAGAAAUUGAUGUUGGCAGGUCAUAUGUAUAGAACUGAGAAUGAGAAAUAGACUUCGGCAGGUCAUAUGUAUAGAACUGAGAAUGAGAAAUAGAUGUUGGCAGGUCAUAUGUAUAGAACUGAGAAUGAGAAAUAGAUGUUGGCAGGUCAUAUGUAUAGAACUGAGAAUGAGAAAUUGAUGUUGGCAGGUCAUAUGUAUAGAACUGAGAAUGAGAAAUAGAUGUUGGCAGGUCAUAUGUAUAGAACUGAGAAUGAGAAAUAGAUGUUGGCAGGUCAUAUGUAUAGAACUGAGAAUGAGAAAUAGAUGUUGGCAGGUCAUAUGUAUAGAACUGAGAAUGAGAAAUAGAUGUUGGCAGGUCAUAUGUAUAGAACUGAGAAUGAGAAAUUGAUGUUGGCAGGUCAUAUGUAUAGAACUGAGAAUAAGAAAUUAACGCUGGCAGGUCUCAUGUAUAGAACUGAUAAAAGAUGGUCAAAUAAAGUAACUGAGUGAUAACCUAGAAAUUUCAGAAGUGAGGGCAGACAGAGGACCAGGUGGACAGAUGUAACUAGAUCUAAUGCCUUCGCCAGAGUAGAAUGGAGUACAGACACUAACGUCCAAGAGGUAGAGACUGCUGAGAAAGGCUUGAGUGUCUUGCAAUAGGCUGGUUAUGACUGAAGAUGAUGAUACACUAUACCCUCUCACAAAGAAAAUGAUGGUGAUUUAGCCUGGCUUCUGAAUAUUUGAUGACACACACACACACACACACACACACACACACACACUUAGCUACUCAGGUACGCAUGUCACUUGAUUACCAGACUUGACUCUCCCAUAAAAAGAGAAAACAGCCUGGGGGAAGGUGAGCUAACUACUGCCAAUACUACUACUACUACUUCUACUCUCCCUUUCACUCACACAUCCAAGGACUAAGACACACCUGAGUUAGAUUUUCUCCUAUUCUAAACAAAUAAAUGAAUCCAAAUUACAAGUACAGCUUAUGAAAUUCUCUCUACAAUAUAAUUUAAAGAACAAGCAAAUAUAAGUAAUGAGGAUAAUUGUAAAGGCUGCAUUGGAUUGCUUCUUGCUCAAAAUAUGUGAUUAGUGAACCCAAAAUGCAAAUAUACUGCUUUAGACAUGAUCUUUGAUCAAGUUAAAAGGGCAAGGUAAUAAAAAAAGGUUGAUUUGGAGUCAAAAUAAAAUCGGGUUCAAUAACAUCUUGCUUAAUAUUUUCAUAUUUUGCUGGAUUAAUGAACCCGAGAUGAGAAUAUGACCAGCUUUUGAAAUCAUCUGAGGAACAAAAUAAAAAAAGGUUAAGUUAGGGUCAGAGCUGAGAAAAAAUAUGACUUCUUGCUUAGUACUGCGCAGGAUAAUAAUGAACCAAAGAUGAUAAUAAAAAAAAAACUUGAAACCAUCUUACAAACACCACCAGCACAGGACAAAAUGAUACAAAAAAAGAAAGGGAAAGUAAAGGUCAAGGAGUCAAUGGGCACAAUAUGACAUCUUCCUUAUUAAUCUAUCUAGUAUAUUAAUGAACCAAAGAUGACAACAUAACCACCUCUCAAAACCAUCUUCCAAACACCACCAGUAAAGGACAAAAUGAUACAAAAGAAAGGGAAAGUGAGGGUCAAGCAAGGAGUCAGUGGGUACAAUAUGACAUCUUCCUUGUUAAUCUAUCUAUAUUAAUGAACCAAAGAUGACAACAUAUCCAUCUCUCAAAACCAUCUUACAAACACCACCAGUAAAGGAAAAAUGAUACAAAAAAAAGGGA